Molecule: non-coding RNA, 99 nt
Filed under: Clostridium sp.
Lineage: Bacteria; Bacillati; Bacillota; Clostridia; Eubacteriales; Clostridiaceae
Also listed under: 1 other name
Description: TPP sequence
Rfam family: TPP riboswitch aptamer (THI element)
About the family: Vitamin B(1) in its active form thiamin pyrophosphate (TPP) is an essential coenzyme that is synthesised by coupling of pyrimidine and thiazole moieties in bacteria. The previously detected thiamin-regulatory element, thi box was extended, resulting in a new, highly conserved RNA secondary structure, the THI element, which is widely distributed in eubacteria and also occurs in some archaea.
Source: RNAcentral
UAUACGUGCUAGGGGUGCUGAAAAGCUGAGAGGGAGAAAUCCUAACCCUUUGAACCUGAUGUGAUUAGAAUCACCGUAGGAAAGCUGAAUUUAAGUUUA